Molecule: transfer RNA, 70 nt
Filed under: Marmota monax (woodchuck)
Lineage: Eukaryota; Metazoa; Chordata; Mammalia; Rodentia; Sciuridae
Description: tRNA.Ala
Rfam family: tRNA
About the family: Transfer RNA (tRNA) molecules are approximately 80 nucleotides in length. Their secondary structure includes four short double-helical elements and three loops (D, anti-codon, and T loops). Further hydrogen bonds mediate the characteristic L-shaped molecular structure. tRNAs have two regions of fundamental functional importance: the anti-codon, which is responsible for specific mRNA codon recognition, and the 3' end, to which the tRNAs corresponding amino acid is attached (by aminoacyl-tRNA synthetases). tRNAs cope with the degeneracy of the genetic code in two manners: having more than one tRNA (with a specific anti-codon) for a particular amino acid; and 'wobble' base-pairing, i.e. permitting non-standard base-pairing at the 3rd anti-codon position.
Source: RNAcentral
GGGGUUGUAGCUCAGUGGUAGAGCACUGCCUUGCAUGCGUGAGGCCCUGGGUUUGGACCCCAGCACCACA